AUUGGAGGGCAAGUCUGGUGCCAGCAGCCGCGGUAAUUCCAGCUCCAAUAGUGUAUAUUAAAGUUGCUGUGAUUAAAACGCUCGUAGUUGAAUUAUAAAGCGCUUAGCGUAUGGGUGCCCUGCUCGGCGGGGAGGAAAUACGCAUCAAACGGUGCGAAGGCGAUGCCGGUUUCCGCCGGUGUCAUUACUUUGAAAAAAAUAGGGUGUUCAAAGCAAAUCUUAUGUUAAUGCAUAAUGAAGCAUGGGACAAUAUCGAGGAGAUCCUUCGGGAUUUCGGGAUAAGGAUUAAGAGGAACAAUUGGGGUGAUUCAGAAAAUGACGGGAGAGGUAAAAUUCCAUGAUCGCCAUAAGAUGCACGAGAGCGAAAGCAUUUCACUCAAUUGCGUUCAUUAAUCAAGAACGAAAGUUAGGGGAUCGAAGACGAUUAGAUACCGUCGUAGUCCUAACUAUAAACGAUGUCAACCAAGGAUUGGAUUAGUUUAAGAGGGACAGAAGUCCGGCAACGCUGUUGUUGGGCUGACGGACCUCGCUUCCACCUUAUUCAGAACUUAAAGAGAAAUCUUGAGUUUAUGGACUUCAGGGGGAG
This 586-nucleotide ribosomal RNA is filed under the name Entamoeba sp. RNAcentral's name for it is "bacterial SSU rRNA". It matches the Rfam family "Eukaryotic small subunit ribosomal RNA", at positions 547 to 1123 of the family's 1831-position model. Lineage: Eukaryota; Evosea; Mastigamoebida; Endamoebidae. The record is from RNAcentral.